AUAGCCCGUGGUGAAUGUUGUCUGGGGGAAUCCAGGUCAGUCCACUGGCUGUAGAUGUGAUGUCAGGAGACCAUGUGUGAGAAGACAGCCCUCAGGAAAGCAAAGGAAGACAGAGGUGCCAGCCUCCCUCACCUGUCUCCACCUGCAGGUUUACAGGAGCCGCUGUCUCCAUAUGCGAAGGGGCCUACUUUGUGGCUCAGCUGCUGGCCAUCUGCUUCCAGUGUCAACCAGGGUCCCUGGCAGACAGAGUAAGGGAGAAAGCCCACUGGCUGGGCUGCUUCCAGAAGUUCCUGGCCUACGUGCUGCUGUCGGUGGCCUGCUUCCUCCACCCGGUCCUGGUCUGGCACGUGACCAUCCCAGGCUCCAUGCUCAUCAUCACCGGCCUGGCCUACUUCCUUCUGAGCAAGCGAAAGAAGAGGAAAGCUGCCCCCGAGGUGCUGGCCUCCCCAGAGCAGUACACAGACCCCUCCAGCAGCGCUGUGAGCACCACCGGUUCUGGGGACACAGAGCAAACCUACACCUUCCAUGGGGCCCUCAAGGAGGGGCCCAGCUCCCUUUUCAUCCACAUGAAGAGUAUCCUGAAGGGGACCAAGAAGCCCAGUGCCCUCCAGCCCCCCAACACCCUGAUGGAGCUGAGCCUGGAGCCAGCCAACUCCCUGGCCAAGAAGAAGCAGGUGCAUUUUGAAGACAAUGUUGUCCGCAUCGUCCCCUCCCUUGCCGAAGGUCUGGAUGAUGGGGAC
This 740-nucleotide small RNA is filed under the name Pongo abelii (Sumatran orangutan). RNAcentral's name for it is "retained intron". The record is from RNAcentral. Lineage: Eukaryota; Metazoa; Chordata; Mammalia; Primates; Hominidae.